GAACGCUCCAGCAAUGGAGAGUGGCAGACGGGUGAGUAACGCGUGGGAACCUUCCCAGUGGUACGGAAUGGCUCAGGGAAACUUGAGGUAAUACCGUAUACGCCCCUCGGGGGAAAGAUUUAUCGCCAUUGGAUGGGCCCGCGUCGGAUUAGCUAGUUGGUGGGGUAACGGCCUACCAAGGCGACGAUCCGUAGCUGGUCUGAGAGGAUGAUCAGCCACACUGGGACUGAGACACGGCCCAGACUCCUACGGGAGGCAGCAGUAGGGAAUAUUGGACAAUGGGCGCAAGCCUGAUCCAGCCAUGCCGCGUGAGUGACGAAGGCCUUCGGGUUGUAAAGCUCUUUUGGCGGGGACG
Molecule: ribosomal RNA, 355 nt
Filed under: uncultured bacterium
Lineage: Bacteria
Description: bacterial SSU rRNA
Rfam family: Bacterial small subunit ribosomal RNA
Source: RNAcentral